Molecule: ribosomal RNA, 248 nt
Filed under: uncultured fungus
Lineage: Eukaryota; Fungi
Description: partial 18S ribosomal RNA
Rfam family: Eukaryotic small subunit ribosomal RNA
Source: RNAcentral
UCAAAGAUUAAGCCAAGCAUGUCUAAGUAUAUAGCAAUUUGUACUGUGAAACUGCGAAUGGCUCAUUAAAUCAGUUAUAGUUUAUUUGAUAGUACCUUUAUACCUGGAUACCUGUGGUAAUUCUAGAGAUAAUACAUGCUAAAAACCUGGACCUUCGGAAGGGGUGUAUUUAUUAGAUAAAAAACCAACGCCCUUCGGGGCUCCUUGGUGAAUCAUAAUAACUAAGCGAAUCGCAUGGCCUUGCGCCG